AUUGAACGCUGGCGGCAGGCUUAACACAUGCAAGUCGAGCGGAGAUGAGGUGCUCGCACCUUAUCUUAGCGGCGGACGGGUGAGUAAUGCUUAGGAAUCUGCCUAUUAGUGGGGGACAACAUUCCGAAAGGAAUGCUAAUACCGCAUACGUCCUACGGGAGAAAGCAGGGGAUCUUCGGACCUUGCGCUAAUAGAUGAGCCUAAGUCGGAUUAGCUAGUUGGAGGGGGAAAGGCAUACCAAGGCGACGAUCUGUAGCGGGUCUGAGAGGAUGAUCCGCCACACUGGGACUGAGACACGGCCCAGACUCCUACGGGAGGCAGCAGUGGGGAAUAUUGGACAAUGGGGGGAACCCUGAUCCAGCCAUGCCGCGUGUGUGAAUAAGGCCUUAUGGUUGUAAAGCACUUUAAGCGAGGAGGAGGCUACUGAGACUAAUACUCUUGGAUAGUGGACGUUACUCGCAGAAUAAGCACCGGCUAACUCUGUGCCAGCCGCCGCGGUAA
This 501-nucleotide ribosomal RNA is filed under the name uncultured bacterium. Its description in RNAcentral is "partial 16S ribosomal RNA". It matches the Rfam family "Bacterial small subunit ribosomal RNA", at positions 30 to 523 of the family's 1533-position model. The record is from RNAcentral.